This 833-nucleotide long non-coding RNA is filed under the name Equus asinus (donkey). RNAcentral's name for it is "lncRNA (ENSEASG00005028354.1)". The record is from RNAcentral. Lineage: Eukaryota; Metazoa; Chordata; Mammalia; Perissodactyla; Equidae.
AGCCUGCCCCUAAUCCGGCCUGCUGGGCUUUACAAGGAUCAGAGCAGCUGAUAAUGAACCUCAUUAAGGGGGAGCAGGAGCCUCAAUCCGAUCUGGGGUUUUCUCUUUGACAUCUUCACUCUGCUCAGAUGGCCUCGGCCCUGGGUGGACCAGGGCUCAGCAGCAUCGAUAAACCGGCUUCGCCCACCAGCUGGUCUCCUCCCCCACCCGGUCUGCCAGGCUGGGAGCCGGGGCUUCGGUGGCCUGAACUCCACCAGCCGUUCCAGGUUGUUCUCUGCACCCUGGAAGAGCUCCCCGGCAGGAGAGGGUCCUGCAAAGCAAAGGCUCCUGGUCCUGGGGCCGGACAGAGACACUUGCCUCCGCCUGCGAUGUUACCUACUGGGCAUUCAGGAACCAUCGCCUAGAGGAGGAGGAGGCAGCUGAGCUGGGUUUUGAAAGAUGAGUGGGGGUUAGCAAGGAAAAUAAGGAGGAAAAAUGCGUCACAGGCAGAGGAGAAAGCACGUGCCAAAUCCAACAAAGGAAAAAUAGUGAAUACAAGAAAUUCUAAGCAAAAAACUUUAAAAAAAAUUUUAAAGCUUUUUCAACGCUUACUAGGCUAGAAGCUGGGAAUAAACAGAGAAGAAAGACGUGGUCUCUGCUGUUAUGGAGCUUUCACUGUAGAGGAAAAGACAGACAAGGGAGAAAAAGAUGACAGAGUGUGGGAGCAAAAAUCCUUUCCCUGGGGCUGCCGAGCUCCCUGGAGGAAAGUGGGCCUCACGGCUGCCUGUUAAACCUCAUUCCUCCGCCUCGGCGAUGGCAGGGCUUGCCUCUCACCGGUGUCUGCCGAAGCCUCU